AAAACUUUCAACAACGGAUCUCUUGGUUCUGGCAUCGAUGAAGAACGCACCAAGUUGCGAUAAGUAAUGUAAAUUGCAAAAUUCAUUGAAUCAUCAAAUCUUUUAACGCUCAUUGCGCCCCUUGGUAUUCCGGGGAGCAUGCCUGUUCGAGCGUCAUUU
RNAcentral lists this ribosomal RNA (159 nucleotides) under Macrophomina phaseolina. Its description in RNAcentral is "5.8S ribosomal RNA". It matches the Rfam family "5.8S ribosomal RNA". Rfam says of the family: 5.8S ribosomal RNA (5.8S rRNA) is a component of the large subunit of the eukaryotic ribosome. It is transcribed by RNA polymerase I as part of the 45S precursor that also contains 18S and 28S rRNA. Lineage: Eukaryota; Fungi; Ascomycota; Dothideomycetes; Botryosphaeriales; Botryosphaeriaceae. The record is from RNAcentral.